This 253-nucleotide ribosomal RNA is filed under the name uncultured bacterium. RNAcentral describes it as "partial 16S ribosomal RNA". It matches the Rfam family "Bacterial small subunit ribosomal RNA", at positions 524 to 776 of the family's 1533-position model. The record is from RNAcentral.
UACGUAGGGGGCUAGCGUUGUCCGGAAUCAUUGGGCGUAAAGAGCGUGUAGGCGGUCCGGUAAGUCCGCUGUGAAAGUCGGGGGCUCAACCCUCGAAUGCCGGUGGAUACUGUCGGGCUAGAGUGCGGAAGAGGCGAGUGGAAUUCCUGGUGUAGCGGUGAAAUGCGCAGAUAUCAGGAGGAACACCAAUUGCGAAGGCAGCUCGCUGGGACGUAACUGACGCUGAGACGCGAAAGCGUGGGGAGCAAACGGG